GAUGAACGCUGGCGGCGUGCCUAAUACAUGCAAGUCGAGCGAACAGAUGAGGAGCUUGCUCCUCUGACGUUAGCGGCGGACGGGUGAGUAACACGUGGAUAACCUACCUAUAAGACUGGAUAACUUCGGGAAACCGGAGCUAAUACCGGAUAAUAUAUUGAACCGCAUGGUUCAAUAGUGAAAGACGGUUUUGCUGUCACUUAUAGAUGGAUCCGCGCCGCAUUAGCUAGUUGGUAAGGUAACGGCUUACCAAGGCAACGAUGCGUAGCCGACCUGAGAGGGUGAUCGGCCACACUGGAACUGAGACACGGUCCAGACUCCUACGGGAGGCAGCAGUAGGGAAUCUUCCGCAAUGGGCGAAAGCCUGACGGAGCAACGCCGCGUGAGUGAUGAAGGUCUUCGGAUCGUAAAACUCUGUUAUUAGGGAAGAACAAAUGUGUAAGUAACUAUGCACGUCUUGACGGUACCUAAUCAGAAAGCCACGACUAACUACGUG
Molecule: ribosomal RNA, 496 nt
Filed under: uncultured bacterium
Lineage: Bacteria
Description: partial 16S ribosomal RNA
Rfam family: Bacterial small subunit ribosomal RNA
Source: RNAcentral